AUUGCUUCUUGGCCUUGUGGCUAAGAUCAAGUGUAGUAUCUGUUCUUAUCAGUUUAAUAAAUGUAACACACCGUAUUAACAUAGCAAAGGACAAAAACCAUAU
Molecule: small nuclear RNA, 103 nt
Organism: Heterocephalus glaber (naked mole-rat)
Lineage: Eukaryota; Metazoa; Chordata; Mammalia; Rodentia; Bathyergidae
Gene: U2
Rfam family: U2 spliceosomal RNA
About the family: U2 is a small nuclear RNA (snRNA) component of the spliceosome (involved in pre-mRNA splicing). Complementary binding between U2 snRNA (in an area lying towards the 5' end but 3' to hairpin I) and the branchpoint sequence (BPS) of the intron results the bulging out of an unpaired adenosine, on the BPS, which initiates a nucleophilic attack at the intronic 5' splice site, thus starting the first of two transesterification reactions that mediate splicing.
Source: Ensembl